ACACUCCUACGGGAGGCAGCAGUGGGGAAUUUUGGACAAUGGGCGAAAGCCUGAUCCAGCAAUGCCGCGUGAGUGAAGAAGGCCUUCGGGUUGUAAAGCUCUUUUGUCAGGGAAGAAACGGUGAGAGCUAAUAUCUUUUGCUAAUGACGGUACCUGAAGAAUAAGCACCGGCUAACUACGUGCCAGCAGCCGCGGUAAUACGUAGGGUGCAAGCGUUAAUCGGAAUUACUGGGCGUAAAGCGUGCGCAGGCGGUUUUGUAAGUCUGAUGUGAAAUCCCCGGGCUCAACCUGGGAAUUGCAUUGGAGACUGCAAGGCUAGAAUCUGGCAGAGGGGGGUAGAAUUCCACGUGUAGCAGUGAAAUGCGUAGAUAUGUGGAGGAACACCGAUGGCGAAGGCAGCCCCCUGGGUCAAGAUUGACGCUCAUGCACGAAAGCGUGGGGAGCAAACAGGAUUAGAUACCCCAGUAGUCCCAU
This 474-nucleotide ribosomal RNA is filed under the name uncultured organism. RNAcentral describes it as "partial 16S ribosomal RNA". It matches the Rfam family "Bacterial small subunit ribosomal RNA", at positions 333 to 798 of the family's 1533-position model. The record is from RNAcentral.